Molecule: long non-coding RNA, 582 nt
Filed under: Heterocephalus glaber (naked mole-rat)
Lineage: Eukaryota; Metazoa; Chordata; Mammalia; Rodentia; Bathyergidae
Description: lncRNA (ENSHGLG00000033177.1)
Source: RNAcentral
GAAACUUAAGGGAACAUGGAAGAUUAGAAACAUAGUGUCAAUCCCAUGAGACCAGGGGAGAUUCACAUUACAGCAGAAGGAUAAGCCUGCAAAGCUUUCAAGUUGGGAAGUUCCUGAUAAAUUCCCCCAUCAUUGAAGUGCAUCCAGUUUCCCCAGUGUUCUUCAGUGGAAUAUUGAGAGGCCAGAGACAUAAUGUUUCUCAAAAGAGAGCAAUAUAUGAAACUCUGCCAGCAGCCUUCGUAUGAGAGGAAACUGAUGCUAGAAGAAACUGCAGCAUUCACUCCCCAAGGGCCAACAUCAAUUCUGCCUGGCUGGAUGACUUUCCUCAUCUGUUGCAUAGCAACCUCCCCUGUCAGCUGCCUGUUUUUCCUCAGCCCUUCCUCUGUACAGUGUCUGCAGUGGGAUGUAAUCAGACUCAAGAAAGGAGUACUGGAGAUCGAAGUCGGGACCUUGCACUUGCGAGGCAGAUACAGCGCCACUGAGCUAAAUCCCCGGUCCCUAAAGAACAAACUUUUGACUUUUAUAAUUUUUUUCCCUCUACUCAGAUUUAAUUUGUUCUCAUUUUGCUAACUUUCAAAGAUG